Molecule: ribosomal RNA, 293 nt
Filed under: uncultured eukaryote
Lineage: Eukaryota
Description: partial 18S ribosomal RNA
Rfam family: Eukaryotic small subunit ribosomal RNA
Source: RNAcentral
GGUUGAUCCUGCCAGUAGUCAUAUGCUUGUCUCAAAGAUUAAGCCAUGCAUGUCUAAGUAUAAACAAAUUCAUACUGUGAAACUGCGAAUGGCUCAUUAAAUCAGUUAUAGUUUAUUUGAUGGUACCUUACUACAUGGAUAACUGUGGUAAUUCUAGAGCUAAUACAUGCUGAAAAGCCCCGACUUCUGGAAGGGGUGUAUUUAUUAGAUAAAAAACCAACGCAGGCAACUGCUCCCUUGGUGAUUCAUAAUAACUUCUCGAAUCGUAUGACCUUGUGUCGACGAUGCUUCAU